This is a long non-coding RNA of Cyprinus carpio (common carp), 450 nucleotides long. RefSeq lists it as uncharacterized. Lineage: Eukaryota; Metazoa; Chordata; Actinopteri; Cypriniformes; Cyprinidae. The record is from RefSeq and is a predicted model, not a curated record. The transcript is spliced from 2 exons.
UACAUUCUUUGCAGAGCCCAAAUCAGCGCCUUAUACGCUGGUCUCUUUUUCUGCAGCCUUAUCCAUUAGAGAUUCGACACAUAAGGGGUGUCGAGAAUGUGUUGGCCGAUGCCUUGUCUCGGGCUCCAUGUGAGAAUCUGGAUACCUGAUUUAAAAACUUGUAUGACUGUGACUGACUUGUUUUCGUAGGUGCCGAGAGUUGCCGUGGUUCCAGUUACAAGUGAGGCCUUUUUGAGAACAUCUGGUGAUGGCGUAAUGAACAACACCUGUUAUAGAUCGGGACGUACGAAUAAAAGUGCUUCUGAGACGUGGGUCGAGGACGUGGGAAGUGACAUCAUCCCAUGCUGCCACUUGAUCGCGCGUUGUUUGUGGAUCUGUCGUCAGUAGUUAAAUUGAUGUGUUAAUUUUAAAUGUAAACCCCUAGAAUUAUGUAAUAAAAAAUAUUCUUCA